Molecule: ribosomal RNA, 399 nt
Filed under: uncultured Rhodoferax sp.
Lineage: Bacteria; Pseudomonadati; Pseudomonadota; Betaproteobacteria; Burkholderiales; Comamonadaceae
Description: bacterial SSU rRNA
Rfam family: Bacterial small subunit ribosomal RNA
Source: RNAcentral
UGUACGGAAGUCGCUAGAGAUUAGCUUCGUGCUCGAAAGAGAGCCGGUAACACAGGUGCUGCAUGGCUGUCGUCAGCUCGUGUCGUGAGAUGUUGGGUUAAGUCCCGCAACGACGCGCAACCCUUGUCAUUAGUUGCUACAUUCAGUUGGGCACUCUAAUGAGACUGCCGGUGACAAACCGGAGGAAGGUGGGGAUGACGUCAAGUCCUCAUGGCCCUUAUAGGUGGGGCUACACACGUCAUACAAUGGCUGGUACAAAGGGUUGCCAACCCGCGAGGGGGAGCUAAUCCCAUAAAACCAAGUCGUAGUCCGGAUCGCAGUCUGCAACUCGACUGCGUGAAGUCGGAAUCGCUAGUAAUCGUGGAUCAGAAUGUCACGGUGAAUACGUUCCCGGGUCUU